Molecule: ribosomal RNA, 465 nt
Filed under: uncultured Klebsiella sp.
Lineage: Bacteria; Pseudomonadati; Pseudomonadota; Gammaproteobacteria; Enterobacterales; Enterobacteriaceae
Description: bacterial SSU rRNA
Rfam family: Bacterial small subunit ribosomal RNA
Source: RNAcentral
CCUACGGGAGGCUGCAGUGGGGAAUAUUGCACAAUGGGCGCAAGCCUGAUGCAGCCAUGCCGCGUGUGUCAAGAAGGCCUUCGGGUUGUAAAGCACUUUCAGCGGGGAGGAAGGCGGUGAGGUUAAUAACCUCAUCGAUUGACGUUACCCGCAGAAGAAGCACCGACUAACUCCGUGCCAGCAGCCGCGGUAAUACGGAGGGUGCAAGCGUUAAUCGGAAUUACUGGGCGUAAAGCGCACGCAGGCGGUCUGUCAAGUCGGAUGUGAAAUCCCCGGGCUCAACCUGGGAACUGCAUUCGAAACUGGCAGGCUAGAGUCUUGUAGAGGGGGGUAGAAUUCCAGGUGUAGCGGUGAAAUGCGUAGAGAGCUGGAGGAAUACCGGUGGCGAAGGCGGCCCCCUGGACAAAGACUGACGCUCAGGUGCGAAAGCGUGGGGAGCAAACAGGAUUAGAUACCCCAGUAGUC